RNAcentral lists this ribosomal RNA (253 nucleotides) under uncultured bacterium. RNAcentral describes it as "partial 16S ribosomal RNA". It matches the Rfam family "Bacterial small subunit ribosomal RNA", at positions 524 to 776 of the family's 1533-position model. The record is from RNAcentral.
UACAGAGGGGGCUAGCGUUAUCCGGAAUUAUUGGGCGUAAAGGGCUCGUAGGCGGCCAUGCGUGUCUUCCGUGAAAUCCCUCGGCUUAACUGAGGACGUGCGGAAGAAACUGCAAGGCUCGAGCCCGGGAGAGGGGGGUGGAAUUCCCAGUGUAGCGGUGAAAUGCGUAGAUAUUGGGAGGAACACCGGUGGCGAAGGCGGCCCCCUGGACCGGUACUGACGCUGAGGCGCGAAAGCGUGGGUAGCAAACGGG